GACGAACGCUGGCGGCGUGCUUAACACAUGCAAGUCGAACGGAAAGGCCCUGCUUUUGUGGGGUGCUCGAGUGGCGAACGGGUGAGUAACACGUGAGUAACCUGCCCUUGACUUUGGGAUAACUUCAGGAAACUGGGGCUAAUACCGGAUAGGAGCUCCUGCUGCAUGGUGGGGGUUGGAAAGUUUCGGCGGUUGGGGAUGGACUCGCGGCUUAUCAGCUUGUUGGUGGGGUAGUGGCUUACCAAGGCUUUGACGGGUAGCCGGCCUGAGAGGGUGACCGGCCAAAUUGGGACUGAGGUUCGGGCCCAACUCCUUCGGGGAGGAACAGGGGGGAAUUAUUGAACAUGGGCCGGAGGCUGAAUGAGCAACCGCGGGGGCCGGAUGGCGGCCUUCCGGGUUUAAACCGCUUUUGGCUGUUGCCGAGGCGUAGUGACGGUUAUGGGUUAAGAAGCACCGGCUAACUACGUG
Molecule: ribosomal RNA, 468 nt
Filed under: uncultured bacterium
Lineage: Bacteria
Description: partial 16S ribosomal RNA
Rfam family: Bacterial small subunit ribosomal RNA
Source: RNAcentral